RNAcentral lists this transfer RNA (81 nucleotides) under Sydowia polyspora. RNAcentral describes it as "tRNA-Ser". It matches the Rfam family "tRNA". Rfam says of the family: Transfer RNA (tRNA) molecules are approximately 80 nucleotides in length. Their secondary structure includes four short double-helical elements and three loops (D, anti-codon, and T loops). Further hydrogen bonds mediate the characteristic L-shaped molecular structure. tRNAs have two regions of fundamental functional importance: the anti-codon, which is responsible for specific mRNA codon recognition, and the 3' end, to which the tRNAs corresponding amino acid is attached (by aminoacyl-tRNA synthetases). tRNAs cope with the degeneracy of the genetic code in two manners: having more than one tRNA (with a specific anti-codon) for a particular amino acid; and 'wobble' base-pairing, i.e. permitting non-standard base-pairing at the 3rd anti-codon position. The record is from RNAcentral. Lineage: Eukaryota; Fungi; Ascomycota; Dothideomycetes; Dothideales; Dothioraceae.
GGAAAAGUUGCCAUUGGUAAGGCGAGAUAUUUGCUAAAUAUUGUGUUUUAACACCUGAUGGUUCAAUUCCAUCCUUUUCCG